GAUGAACGCUAGCUACAGGCUUAACACAUGCAAGUCGAGGGGAAACGGCAUUUAGUGCUUGCACCGAAUGGACGUCGACCGGCGCACGGGUGAGUAACGCGUAUCCAACCUACCCAUUACUGUGGGAUAGCCUGCCGAAAGGCAGACUAAUACCGCAUAGUCUUCGAUGACGGCAUCAGAUUUGAAGUAAAGAUUUAUCGGUAAUGGAUGGGGAUGCGUCUGAUUAGCUUGUUGGCGGGGUAACGGCCCACCAAGGCGACGAUCAGUAGGGGUUCUGAGAGGAAGGUCCCCCACAUUGGAACUGAGACACGGUCCAAACUCCUACGGGAGGCAGCAGUGAGGAAUAUUGGUCAAUGGACGAGAGUCUGAACCAGCCAAGUAGCGUGCAGGAUGACGGCCCUAUGGGUUGUAAACUGCUUUUGUAUGGGGAUAAAGUCAAUCACGUGUGAUUGUUUGCAGGUACCAUACGAAUAAGGACCGGCUAAUUCCGUGCCAGCAGCCGCGGUAAUACGGAAGGUCCGGGCGUUAUCCGGAUUUAUUGGGUUUAAAGGGAGCGUAGGCCGGAGAUUAAGUGUGUUGUGAAAUGUAGACGCUCAACGUCUGACUUGCAGCGCAUACUGGUUUCCUUGAGUACGCACAACGUUGGCGGAAUUCGUCGUGUAGCGGUGAAAUGCUUAGAUAUGACGAAGAACUCCGAUUGCGGAGGCAGCUGACGGGAGCGCAACUGACGCUUAAGCUCGAAGGUGCGGGUAUCGAACAGG
This 761-nucleotide ribosomal RNA is filed under the name Prevotella melaninogenica. RNAcentral describes it as "bacterial SSU rRNA". It matches the Rfam family "Bacterial small subunit ribosomal RNA", at positions 28 to 776 of the family's 1533-position model. The record is from RNAcentral. Lineage: Bacteria; Pseudomonadati; Bacteroidota; Bacteroidia; Bacteroidales; Prevotellaceae.